AAACUGACGAAUUGCAGACAUGUUGCUGUCCUAUUCCCUUCCUCACCACCACCACCACCACCACCCAUCAACAUUUAUUAAGUGCACUGAGGAUUCAAAAACAGCACCCAGGUGCACUCAAGGAGCUAAAACAUGGAAAAGACAUCAUCAUCUCCGGCCUCUUCACCCAGCAGAGAUAUUUUGAGGACAGGAUCCACUAAGAUCUCAGAAGUGAUAGAAGUCCAAGCAGUACACAAAGCUAAGUGAGGGAAGGGCUGUGCCCCUGGGCAAGACUGAAGGAAAGUAGGACUUGAGUCAUCGGGACGGUCACAUGUUUCGACAUCAAAAUCGGAUAUGAUUUCAUGGGUAGAAAUGACAUGAAAGAAGAUGCGUUACCAUCUGCUUUGGACAUCUUUCCACCGGAUCUGCAGCUUCUUGUCUCCUCCUGGAGGAUGUGAGCACCUGCGAACAAAGACCCUUUGAACCCUCAGGGCUUAGGACAAUGCUUUGCUCGUGCUUAAUAAAGGCGUUUUCUUUCUUC
Long non-coding RNA from Phascolarctos cinereus (koala), 520 nucleotides. RefSeq lists it as uncharacterized. Lineage: Eukaryota; Metazoa; Chordata; Mammalia; Diprotodontia; Phascolarctidae. The record is from RefSeq and is a predicted model, not a curated record.